CCUAACACAUGCAAGUCGAACGGUAACAGGAAGAAGCUUGCUUCUUUGCUGACGAGUGGCGGACGGGUGAGUAAUGUCUGGGAAACUGCCUGAUGGAGGGGGAUAACUACUGGAAACGGUAGCUAAUACCGCAUAACGUCGCAAGACCAAAGAGGGGGACCUUCGGGCCUCUUGCCAUCAGAUGUGCCCAGAUGGGAUUAGCUAGUAGGUGGGGUAACGGCUCACCUAGGCGACGAUCCCUAGCUGGUCUGAGAGGAUGACCAGCCACACUGGAACUGAGACACGGUCCAGACUCCUACGGGAGGCAGCAGUGGGGAAUAUUGCACAAUGGGCGCAAGCCUGAUGCAGCCAUGCCGCGUGUAUGAAGAAGGCCUUCGGGUUGUAAAGACUUUU
Molecule: ribosomal RNA, 393 nt
Filed under: uncultured bacterium
Lineage: Bacteria
Description: bacterial SSU rRNA
Rfam family: Bacterial small subunit ribosomal RNA
Source: RNAcentral